RNAcentral lists this ribosomal RNA (292 nucleotides) under uncultured bacterium. RNAcentral's name for it is "partial 16S ribosomal RNA". It matches the Rfam family "Bacterial small subunit ribosomal RNA", at positions 505 to 796 of the family's 1533-position model. The record is from RNAcentral.
GUGCCAGCCGCCGCGGUAAUACAGAGGCCUCGAGCGUUAGGCGGAAUCACUGGGCUUAAAGCGUGUGUAGGUGGAGUUCUAAGUACCUUGUGAAAUCCCACGGCUCAACCGUGGAACUGCUGGGUAUACUGGUUCUCUUGAGGUACCUAGGGGCGAGCGGAACAAGUGGUGGAGCGGUGAAAUGCGUAGAUAUCACUUGGAACGCCAACGGUGAAAACAGCUCGCUGGGGGUAUCCUGACACUGAGACACGAAAGCCAGGGGAGCAAACGGGAUUAGAUACCCCCGUAGUCC